AAAGCGUGCGCAGGCGGUUUUGUAAGACUGUCGUGAAAUCCCCGGGCUCAACCUGGGAAUGGCGAUGGUGACUGCAAGGCUAGAGUUUGGCAGAGGGGGGUAGAAUUCCACGUGUAGCAGUGAAAUGCGUAGAUAUGCGGAGGAACACCGAUGGCGAAGGCAAUCCCCUGGACCUGUACUGACGCUCAUGCACGAAAGCGUGGGGAGCAAACAGGAUUAGAUACCCGGGU
Molecule: ribosomal RNA, 230 nt
Filed under: uncultured bacterium
Lineage: Bacteria
Description: partial 16S ribosomal RNA
Rfam family: Bacterial small subunit ribosomal RNA
Source: RNAcentral